Molecule: ribosomal RNA, 390 nt
Filed under: uncultured bacterium
Lineage: Bacteria
Description: bacterial SSU rRNA
Rfam family: Bacterial small subunit ribosomal RNA
Source: RNAcentral
AUUGAACGCUGGCGGCAUGCUUUACACAUGCAAGUCGAGCGGCAGCGCGGGGGCAACCCUGGCGGCGAGCGGCGAACGGGUGAGUAAUGCAUCGGAACGUACCCUGGAGUGGGGGAUAACGCCGCGAAAGCAGCGCUAAUACCGCAUAUGCUCUGAGGAGGAAAGUGGGGGACCCGCAAGGGCCUCAUGCUCUGGGAGCGGCCGAUGUCCGAUUAGCUAGUUGGUGAGGUAAAGGCUUACCAAGGCGACGAUCGGUAGCUGGUCUGAGAGGAUGAUCAGCCACACUGGGACUGAGACACGGCCCAGACUCCUACGGGAGGCAGCAGUGGGGAAUUUUGGACAAUGGGGGGCAACCCUGAUCCAGCCAUGCCGCGUGAGUGAAGAAGGCCU